This 917-nucleotide ribosomal RNA is filed under the name Salmonella enterica subsp. enterica serovar Stanley. Its description in RNAcentral is "partial 23S ribosomal RNA". It matches the Rfam family "Bacterial large subunit ribosomal RNA", at positions 1242 to 2141 of the family's 2925-position model. Lineage: Bacteria; Pseudomonadati; Pseudomonadota; Gammaproteobacteria; Enterobacterales; Enterobacteriaceae. The record is from RNAcentral.
UGUAAGCCGUUGAAGGUGGCCUGUGAGGGUUGCUGGAGGUAUCAGAAGUGCGAAUGCUGACAUAAGUAACGAUAAAGCGGGUGAAAAGCCCGCUCGCCGGAAGACCAAGGGUUCCUGUCCAACGUUAAUCGGGGCAGGGUGAGUCGACCCCUAAGGCGAGGCCGAAAGGCGUAGUCGAUGGGAAACGGGUUAAUAUUCCCGUACUUGGUGUUACUGCGAAGGGGGGACGGAGAAGGCUAUGUUGGCCGGGCGACGGUUGUCCCGGUUUAAGCGUGUAGGUGUGUGUUCCAGGUAAAUCCGGUUCACUUUAACACUGAGGCGUGACGACGAGGCACUACGGUGCUGAAGCAACAAAUGCCCUGCUUCCAGGAAAAGCCUCUAAGCAUCAGGUAACAUCAAAUCGUACCCCAAACCGACACAGGUGGUCAGGUAGAGAAUACCAAGGCGCUUGAGAGAACUCGGGUGAAGGAACUAGGCAAAAUGGUGCCGUAACUUCGGGAGAAGGCACGCUGACACGUAGGUGAAGUGAUUUACUCAUGGAGCUGAAGUCAGUCGAAGAUACCAGCUGGCUGCAACUGUUUAUUAAAAACACAGCACUGUGCAAACACGAAAGUGGACGUAUACGGUGUGACGCCUGCCCGGUGCCGGAAGGUUAAUUGAUGGGGUCAGCGCAAGCGAAGCUCCUGAUCGAAGCCCCGGUAAACGGCGGCCGUAACUAUAACGGUCCUAAGGUAGCGAAAUUCCUUGUCGGGUAAGUUCCGACCUGCACGAAUGGCGUAAUGAUGGCCAGGCUGUCUCCACCCGAGACUCAGUGAAAUUGAACUCGCUGUGAAGAUGCAGUGUACCCGCGGCAAGACGGAAAGACCCCGUGAACCUUUACUAUAGCUUGACACUGAACAUUGAGCCUUGAUGUGUAG